AAUAAAGUGUCUGAUAAAAAGAAUUAUUUUGAUAGAAUAAAAUAUGUAAUAACAAUUACCUUUAUUA
RNAcentral lists this transfer RNA (67 nucleotides) under Onthophagus haematopus. RNAcentral's name for it is "tRNA-Ile". Lineage: Eukaryota; Metazoa; Arthropoda; Insecta; Coleoptera; Scarabaeidae. The record is from RNAcentral.